GCCAGGCAUGGUGGUGUGUGCCUGUAGUCUCAGCUACUCUGGAGGCUGAGCCCAGGAGGUCUGGGCUGUAGUGUGCUAUGCCAAUCAGGUGUCCGCACUAAGUUCAGCAUCAAUAUGGUGACCUCCCGGGAGCAGGGGACCACCAGGUUGCCUAAGGAGGGGUGAACAGACCCAGGUCAGAAACGGAGCAGGUCAAAACUCCUGUACUGAUCAGCAGGGGGAUCUCACCUGUGAAUAGCCACUGCACUCCAGCCUGGGCAAUAU
RNAcentral lists this signal recognition particle RNA (264 nucleotides) under Cebus imitator (Panamanian white-faced capuchin). RNAcentral's name for it is "Metazoan signal recognition particle RNA (ENSCCAG00000004901.1)". It matches the Rfam family "Metazoan signal recognition particle RNA". From Rfam's summary of the family: The signal recognition particle (SRP) is a universally conserved ribonucleoprotein. It is involved in the co-translational targeting of proteins to membranes. The record is from Rfam by way of RNAcentral. Lineage: Eukaryota; Metazoa; Chordata; Mammalia; Primates; Cebidae.